AAAUUAAAGGGCCGCGGUAUUUUGACCGUGCAAAGGUAGCAUAAUCAUUAGUCUUUUAAUUGAAGGCUGGAAUGAAUGGUUUGACGAAAUAUUAACUGUCUCUUUAUAAUAGAUAUAAUUUAACUUCUGAGUUAAAAGGCUUAGAUGACUAUAAAAGACGAGAAGACCCUAUAGAUCUUUAUAUAGGGAUAUACCUAUUUUGUUUAGGUUAAUUUUUAAUUGGUAUAUUGCUGUAUUUUGUUGGGGUGACAUGAAGAUAAAAAUAACUCUUUAUUAUUAAUACAUUGAUUUAUGAAUAAUUGAUCCAUUAUUGAUGAUUAUAAGAUAAAGUUACCUUAGGGAUAACAGCGUAAUUUUUUUUGAGAGUUCUUAUCGACAAGAAAGAUUGCGACCUCG
RNAcentral lists this ribosomal RNA (396 nucleotides) under Psorodonotus caucasicus. RNAcentral describes it as "partial 16S ribosomal RNA". It matches the Rfam family "Bacterial large subunit ribosomal RNA", at positions 1920 to 2528 of the family's 2925-position model. Lineage: Eukaryota; Metazoa; Arthropoda; Insecta; Orthoptera; Tettigoniidae. The record is from RNAcentral.